This 159-nucleotide unclassified non-coding RNA is filed under the name uncultured fungus. RNAcentral describes it as "sequence contains ITS1, 5.8S rRNA gene". Lineage: Eukaryota; Fungi. RNAcentral also lists the same sequence under 1 other name. The record is from RNAcentral.
CCGAGUUUUUACAACUCCCAAACCCACUGUGAACCUUUAUAACGUUGCUUCGGCGCUGCGUCCCAGGCCUCCGUGCCUGGACCCAGGCGCUCGCCGAGGGCCCCAAACUCUUGUUUUUACAGAAGCAGUCUGAGUGGCGUAAUGCAAACAAAUGAAUCA